Molecule: ribosomal RNA, 423 nt
Filed under: uncultured prokaryote
Description: bacterial SSU rRNA
Rfam family: Bacterial small subunit ribosomal RNA
Source: RNAcentral
UGGGGAAUAUUGGUCAAUGGGCGCAAGCCUGAACCAGCCAUCCCGCGUGCAGGAAGACGGCCCUAUGGGUUGUAAACUGCUUUUCCAGGGAGAGAAACUUGCGUACGCGUUGCGCAAUUGACGGUACCCUGGGAAUAAGCAUCGGCUAACUCCGUGCCAGCAGCCGCGGUAAUACGGAGGAUGCGAGCGUUAUCCGGAUUCAUUGGGUUUAAAGGGUGCGUAGGCGGACUAUUAAGUCAGUGGUGAAAUCCUGCAGCUUAACUGCAGAACUGCCAUUGAUACUGAUAGCCUUGAGUUUGGUUAAGGUAGGCGGAAUGUGUAAUGUAGCGGUGUAAUGCUUAGAUAUUACACAGAACACCGAUUGCGAAGGCAGCUUACUAAACUGUAACUGACACUGAUGCACGAAAGCGUGGGGAUCGAACA